GAUGAACGCUAGCUACAGGCUUAACACAUGCAAGUCGAGGGGAAACGACAUCGGAAGCUUGCUUUUGAUGGGCGUCGACCGGCGCACGGGUGAGUAACGCGUAUCCAACCUGCCCACCACUUGGGGAUAACCUUGCGAAAGUAAGACUAAUACCCAAUGACGUCUCUAGAAGACAUCUGAAAGGGAUUAAAGAUUUAUCGGUGAUGGAUGGGGAUGCGUCUGAUUAGCUUGUUGGCGGGGUAACGGCCCACCAAGGCGACGAUCAGUAGGGGUUCUGAGAGGAAGGUCCCCCCACAUUGGAACUGAGACACGGUCCAAAACUCCUACGGGAGGCAGCAGUGAGGAAUAUUGGU
Molecule: ribosomal RNA, 353 nt
Filed under: uncultured bacterium
Lineage: Bacteria
Description: bacterial SSU rRNA
Rfam family: Bacterial small subunit ribosomal RNA
Source: RNAcentral